Molecule: ribosomal RNA, 262 nt
Filed under: uncultured bacterium
Lineage: Bacteria
Description: partial 16S ribosomal RNA
Rfam family: Bacterial small subunit ribosomal RNA
Source: RNAcentral
UACGAAGGGUGCAAACGUUGCUCGGAAUCAUUGGGCGUAAAGCGCACGUAGGCGGCUUCGCAAGUCGGAUGUGAAAUACCUAGGCUCAACCAAGGACGUGCAUCCGAAACUGCGAGGCUUGAGUACAGAAGAGGAUCGCGGAAUUCCCGGUGUAGAGGUGAAAUUCGUAGAUAUCGGGAGGAACACCAGUGGCGAAGGCGGCGAUCUGGGCUGAUACUGACGCUGAGGUGCGAAAGCGUGGGGAGCAAACAGGAUUAGAACC